Molecule: ribosomal RNA, 253 nt
Filed under: uncultured bacterium
Lineage: Bacteria
Description: partial 16S ribosomal RNA
Rfam family: Bacterial small subunit ribosomal RNA
Source: RNAcentral
UACGGGGGGGGCAAGCGUUGUUCGGAAUUACUGGGCGUAAAGGGCUCGUAGGUGGCCAACUAAGUCAGACGUGAAAUCCCUCGGCUUAACCGGGGAACUGCGUCUGAUACUGGAUGGCUUGAGUUUGGGAGAGGGACGCGGAAUUCCAGGUGUAGCGGUGAAAUGCGUAGAGAUCCGGAGGAACACCGAAGGCGAAGGCAGUGUCCUGGCUGGUGACUGACGCUGAGGUGCGAAAGCUAGGGGAGCGAACGGG